This 253-nucleotide ribosomal RNA is filed under the name uncultured bacterium. RNAcentral's name for it is "partial 16S ribosomal RNA". It matches the Rfam family "Bacterial small subunit ribosomal RNA", at positions 524 to 776 of the family's 1533-position model. The record is from RNAcentral.
UACGUAGGGGGCUAGCGUUGUCCGGAUUUAUUGGGCGUAAAGAGCGUGUAGGCGGCCAGGUAGGUCUGCUGUGAAAACUCGAGGCUCAACCUCGAGACGUCGGCGGAAACCAUCUGGCUAGAGUCCGGAAGAGGAGAGUGGAAUUCCUGGUGUAGCGGCGAAAUGCGCAGAUAUCAGGAAGAACACCCGUGGCGAAGGCGGCUCUCUGGGACGGUACUGACGCUGAGGCGCGAAGGCGUGGGGAGCGAACGGG